AUGUCUUCUAAUUGUUUUGGAAUUGGUGGAAUCACAAUAUACAACUUGUGUUCUGUUAUUUGGAUCUCUCUUUGGAGAUUUUGCCUGCUAUUAUGUCUUCUAAUUGUUUUGGAAUUGGUGGAAUCACAAUAUACAACUUGUGUUCUGUUAUUUGGAUCUCUCUUUGGAGAUUUUGCCUGCUAUUUUGUCAAUGUAUUGUGCUUAUUUUGCGGUCUUGAUUCCUCUAUUUAA
Vicia faba (fava bean) is the source of this 231-nucleotide non-coding RNA. The record is from the annotation of a GenBank genome assembly. Lineage: Eukaryota; Viridiplantae; Streptophyta; Magnoliopsida; Fabales; Fabaceae.